GCCAGCCCGCUCAAGAAACUUAAAUGAAUUGACGGGGCCCGCACAAGCGGAGGAGCAUGUGGUUUAAUUCGAUGAUACGCGAGGAACCUUACCUGGGCUCGAACGUAAGAUGACUGUAGGUGAAAGCUUACAUCUCUUCGGAGCAUUUUACGAGGUGCUGCAUGGUUGUCGUCAGCUCGUGCCGUGAGGUGUCGGGUUAAGUCCCAUAACGAGCGCAACCCCUACCUUUAGUUGCCAUCAGGUAAUGCUGGGGACUCUAAAGGAACUGCCUACGCAAGUAGUGAGGAAGGCGGGGAUGACGUCAAAUCAGCACGGCCCUUACGUCCAGGGCUACACACGUGCUACAAUGGCCGAUACAGAGGGCAGCUACCUGGUGACAGGAUGCAAAUCUCCAAAGUCGGUCUCAGUUCGGAUCGGAGUCUGCAACCCGACUCCGUGAAGUUGGAUUCGCUAGUAAUCGCGCAUCAGCCAUGGCGCGGUGAAUACGUUCCCGGGCCUU
RNAcentral lists this ribosomal RNA (499 nucleotides) under uncultured Sphingobacteriales bacterium. RNAcentral describes it as "bacterial SSU rRNA". It matches the Rfam family "Bacterial small subunit ribosomal RNA", at positions 903 to 1382 of the family's 1533-position model. Lineage: Bacteria; Pseudomonadati; Bacteroidota; Sphingobacteriia; Sphingobacteriales. The record is from RNAcentral.